RNAcentral lists this ribosomal RNA (301 nucleotides) under uncultured bacterium. RNAcentral describes it as "partial 16S ribosomal RNA". It matches the Rfam family "Bacterial small subunit ribosomal RNA", at positions 509 to 807 of the family's 1533-position model. The record is from RNAcentral.
CAGCCGCCACGGUAAAACGGAGGGUGCAAGCGUUAAUCGGAAUUACUGGGCGUAAAGCGUGCGUAGGCGGUUCGUUAAGUCUGUUGUGAAAGCCCCGGGCUCAACCUGGGAAUGGCAAUGGAUACUGGCGAGCUAGAGUGUGUCAGAGGAUGGUGGAAUUCCCGGUGUAGCGAUGAAAUGCGUAGAGAUCGGGAGGAACAUCAGUGACGAAGGCGGCCAUCUGGGACAACACUGACGCUGAGGCACGAAAGCGUGGGGAGCAAACAGGAUUAGAUACCCGUGUAGUCCCUGUCUCUUAUAC